AGUGGCGGACGGGUGAGUAACGCGUGGGCAACCUACCCCACACAGGGGGACAACAGUUGGAAACGACUGCUAAUACCGCAUAGGCGCACAGCUUCGCAUGAAGCAGUGUGGAAAACCGAGGUGGUGUGGGAUGGGCCCGCGUCUGAUUAGCUGGUUGGCGGGGUAACGGCCCACCAAGGCGACGAUCAGUAGCCGGCCUGAGAGGGUGGACGGCCACAUUGGGACUGAGACACGGCCCAAACUCCUACGGGAGGCAGCAGUGGGGGAUAUUGGACAAUGGGGGGAACCCUGAUCCAGCGACGCCGCGUGAGUGAAGAAGUAUUUCGGUAUGUAAAGCUCUGUCAGCAGGGAAGAAAGAAAUGACGGUACCUGACCAAGAAGCCCCGGCUAACUACGUGCCAGCAGCCGCGGUAAUACGUAGGGGGCAAGCGUUAUCCGGAAUUACUGGGUGUAAAGGGAGCGUAGACGGUUAAGUAAGUCUGGAGUGAAAGGCCGGGGCCCAACCCCGGGACUGCUCUGGAAACUAUUGAACUUGAGUGCAGGAGAGGUAAGCGGAAUUCCUAGUGUAGCGGUGAAAUGCGUAGAUAUUAGGAGGAACACCAGUGGCGAAGGCGGCUUACUGGACUGUAACUGACGUUGAGGCUCGAAAGCGUGGGGAGCAAACAGGAUUAGAUACCCUGGUAGUCCACGCCGUAAACGAUGAUUACUAGGUGUCGGUGGGUAUGGA
This 727-nucleotide ribosomal RNA is filed under the name uncultured bacterium. Its description in RNAcentral is "bacterial SSU rRNA". It matches the Rfam family "Bacterial small subunit ribosomal RNA", at positions 94 to 836 of the family's 1533-position model. The record is from RNAcentral.